AGAGCGAACGCUGGCGGCAGGCUUAACACAUGCAAGUCGAGCGGGCGUAGCAAUACGUCAGCGGCAGACGGGUGAGUAACGCGUGGGAACGUACCUUUUGGUUCGGAACAACACAGGGAAACUUGUGCUAAUACCGGAUAAGCCCUUACGGGGAAAGAUUUAUCGCCGAAAGAUCGGCCCGCGUCUGAUUAGCUAGUUGGUGAGGUAACGGCUCACCAAGGCGACGAUCAGUAGCUGGUCUGAGAGGAUGAUCAGCCACAUUGGGACUGAGACACGGCCCAAACUCCUACGGGAGGCAGCAGUGGGGAAUAUUGGACAAUGGGCGCAAGCCUGAUCCAGCCAUGCCGCGUGAGUGAUGAAGGCCCUAGGGGUUGUAAAGCUCUUUUGUGCGGGAAGAUAAUGACGGUACCGCAAGAAUAAGCCCCGGCUAACUUCGCGCCAGCAGCCGC
This 449-nucleotide ribosomal RNA is filed under the name uncultured bacterium. RNAcentral describes it as "SSU rRNA". It matches the Rfam family "Bacterial small subunit ribosomal RNA", at positions 26 to 518 of the family's 1533-position model. The record is from RNAcentral.